UACGUAGGGUGCAAGCGUUGUCCGGAAUUAUUGGGCGUAAAGAGCUCGUAGGCGGUUUGUCGCGUCUGGUGUGAAAAUCCAGGGCUUGACCCUGGACCUGCAUCGGGUACGGGCAGACUAGAGUGCGGUAGGGGAGAUCGGAAUUCCUGGUGUAGCGGUGAAAUGCGCAGAUAUCAGGAGGAACACCGGUGGCGAAGGCGGAUCUCUGGGCCGUAACUGACGCUGAGGAGCGAAAGCAUGGGGAGCGAACAGG
RNAcentral lists this ribosomal RNA (253 nucleotides) under uncultured bacterium. Its description in RNAcentral is "partial 16S ribosomal RNA". It matches the Rfam family "Bacterial small subunit ribosomal RNA", at positions 524 to 776 of the family's 1533-position model. The record is from RNAcentral.